UGAGCCUCUGUGGUAGCCCUC
This 21-nucleotide microRNA is filed under the name Arabidopsis thaliana (thale cress). Its description in RNAcentral is "Ath-miR771". The record is from RNAcentral. Lineage: Eukaryota; Viridiplantae; Streptophyta; Magnoliopsida; Brassicales; Brassicaceae.